RNAcentral lists this ribosomal RNA (403 nucleotides) under bacterium. RNAcentral's name for it is "partial 16S ribosomal RNA". It matches the Rfam family "Bacterial small subunit ribosomal RNA", at positions 355 to 776 of the family's 1533-position model. The record is from RNAcentral.
UGGGGAAUAUUGCACAAUGGGGGAAACCCUGAUGCAGCGACGCCGCGUGAACGAAGAAGGUAUUCGUAUCGUAAAGUUCUGUCCUAUGGGAAGAUAAUGACAGUACCAUAGAAGAAAGCUCCGGCUAAAUACGUGCCAGCAGCCGCGGUAAUACGUAUGGAGCGAGCGUUGUCCGGAAUUAUUGGGCGUAAAGGGUACGCAGGCGGUUUAAUAAGUCGAAUGUUAAAGAUCGGGGCUCAACCCCGCAAAGCAUUGGAAACUGAUAAACUUGAGUAGUGGAGAGGAAAGGGGAAUUCCUAGUGUAGUGGUGAAAUACGUAGAUAUUAGGAGGAAUACCAGUAGCGAAGGCGACUUUCUGGACACAAACUGACGCUGAGGUACGAAAGCGUGGGGAGCAAACAGG